Molecule: ribosomal RNA, 1403 nt
Filed under: Hemisus marmoratus (mottled shovel-nosed frog)
Lineage: Eukaryota; Metazoa; Chordata; Amphibia; Anura; Hemisotidae
Description: partial 16S ribosomal RNA
Rfam family: Bacterial large subunit ribosomal RNA
Source: RNAcentral
ACCCUAAUCAAAGCUCAACACCUCCGUAUGACAAAACCACCAAAAAUCACUCUUAACAAAACAUUCUAUCUGUUUAGUACAGGCGAAAAAAAAACAUCUCAGAAGCUUCAUAUUAAGUACCGCAAGGGAACAAUGAAAUACUAAUUAAACAUUCAAGUAAAAUAAAGCAAAGAUUAAACCUUGUACCUUUUGCAUCAUGGUCUAGCAAGUCUAAUUAAGCUAAAUGAGCUUAUGCUUAAACCCCCGAAACCCAGUGAGCUACUUCAGAACAGCCAUAGGGCCAACCCUCGUCUGUAGCAAAAGACCGGGAAGAUUCUCGAGUAGAGGCGACAAACCUAUCGAACUGGGAUAUAGCUGGUUACUAAGGAAAUGGAUUUUAGUUCAACCUAAAGCUUCAUUUGCCCCUUAUCAUUCCCCCCAAGCCUUAGAGUUAUUCAAAUAAGGAACAGCUUAUUUGAAAAAGGACACAACCUUCACAACAGGGUAACUCUUCAAUAAGAUAAACCAGUUGGCCUAAAAGCAGCCACCUAAAAUAGCGUUAAAGCUUCCUUCACUUUUCUCCCAAUCCCAAUACCAAAUAGAAACCCUUAACUAAUACUUAGUACUUCUAUAUACGUAUAGAAUUUAUUAUGCUAGAACUAGUAACAAGAAGAAGACCUUCUCCGAUAUGUAAGCUUACUCCAGAAUAAACAAAUUACUGGAUAUUACCGCCUUAGAACCACCAGCUUUAACACAUCAAGAAAAUCCCCCUAAACAAAGCGUUAAUCUUACACAAGAACAUACCAGGAAAAAUUAAAAGAAGAGGAAGGAACUCGGCAAAAUUAGUCCCGCCUGUUUACCAAAAACAUCGCCUCUUGCCAACCCAUAAGAGGUCUAGCCUGCCCAUUGAUAAAUUUAACGGCCGCGGUAUUCUGACCGUGCGAAGGUAGCACAAUCACUUGUCCUCUAAAUAGGGACUAGUAUGAACGGCAUCACGAGGACUUCACUGUCUCCCCCUUCUAAUUAGUGAAACUGAUCUCCCUGUGAAAAAGCAGGGAUUUACCUAUAAGACGAGAAGACCCCAUGGAGCUUUAAACCUAAGCUAAUUGUUCAACUUUUUCUCCACAAAACACAACAAACAUAGACUUUUGGUUUUUGGUUGGGGCAACCGCGGAGAAGAACCAACCCUCCGUAAUAGAAGAAUUUCCACUCUAAGCUCUGAAUAACCUCUCUAGUCAUCAAGAAUUUGAUAUUUUUGACCCAUCAAAAUGAAUGAGCAAUGAACCAAGUUACCCUGGGGAUAACAGCGCAAUCCAUUACUAGAGUUCAUAUCGACUUUUGGGUUUACGACCUCGAUGUUGGAUCAGGAUAUCCAAGUGGUGCAGCCGCUACUAAAGGUUCGUUUGUUCAACGAUUAAAAUCCU